AUACAGUGGAAUUUUCCAGAGACUCCAUUUUGUGUGACAUUGCAACAGAUUGAAGGCUGAGGCAGAUCUGAGAAUCCAGCUGUCUUCUACUAAGCCAGACAUUAAAGAGUACGCUGGCCUCUCGCUGUUGUGGCCUCUCCCGUUGUGGAGCACAGGCUCUGGACGCACAGGCUCAGCAGCCAUGGCUCACGGGCCUAGCUGCUCCGCGGCAUGUGGGAUCUUCCCGGACCAGGGCACGAACCCGUGCCCCUUGCAUUGGCAGGCAGACUCUCAACCACUGCGCCACCAGGGAAGCCCUAUACAUCUUUUUAAUGUGAACGUCUUAGUGUCUUUAGGGGAAUUCCUUGGUUUGAUCUUCAUGUCACUAGUUUCUUCUGAGCUGUGGUAUUCUGGUAACACCCUAUUUUUUUUUAAAGGAGGUGGGUCAAAAAGGAUUGGCAGGUGGAUUCUUAACCACUUCACCACCAGG
This is a long non-coding RNA of Physeter macrocephalus (sperm whale), 469 nucleotides long. RefSeq lists it as uncharacterized. The record is from RefSeq and is a predicted model, not a curated record. NCBI's taxonomy places the organism in Eukaryota, Metazoa, Chordata, Mammalia, Artiodactyla, Physeteridae. The transcript has 4 exons.